This 494-nucleotide ribosomal RNA is filed under the name uncultured bacterium. Its description in RNAcentral is "bacterial SSU rRNA". It matches the Rfam family "Bacterial small subunit ribosomal RNA", at positions 30 to 519 of the family's 1533-position model. The record is from RNAcentral.
AUUGAACGCUGGCGGCAUGCCUUACACAUGCAAGUCGAACGGCAGCGCGGGGCAACCUGGCGGCGAGUGGCGAACGGGUGAGUAAUAUAUCGGAACAUACCCUAGAGUGGGGAUAACGUAGCGAAAGUUACGCUAAUACCGCAUACGCACUAAGGUGGAAAGUGGGGGAUUCGCAGGAACCUCAUGCUCAUGGAGUGGCCGAUAUCUGAUUAGCUAGUUGGUGAGGUAAAGGCUCACCAAGGCAACGAUCAGUAGCUGGUUUGAGAGAACGACCAGCCACACUGGAACUGAGACACGGUCCAGACUCCUACGGGAGGCAGCAGUGGGGAAUUUUGGACAAUGGGGAAACCCUGACGCAGCAACGCCGCGUGAGUGAGGAAGGACUUCGGUCUGUAAAGCUCUGUUAAUGUGGAAAAUGGUUAGCGGUCUAAUAGGCCGUUGAUUUGAUGGUACACAUAGAGGAAGCACCGGCUAACUUCGUGCCAGCAGCCGCG